CCUACGGGAGGCAGCAGUGGGGAAUUUUGGACAAUGGGCGCAAGCCUGAUCCAGCAAUGCCGCGUGAGUGAAGAAGGCCUUCGGGUUGUAAAGCUCUUUUGUCAGGGAAGAAACGGUGAGAGCUAAUAUCUCUUGCUAAUGACGGUACCUGAAGAAUAAGCACCGGCUAACUACGUGCCAGCAGCCGCGGUAAUACGUAGGGUGCAAGCGUUAAUCGGAAUUACUGGGCGUAAAGCGUGCGCAGGCGGUUUUGUAAGUUUGUCGUGAAAGCCCCGGGCUCAACCUGGGAAUUGCGAUGAAGACUGCAAGGCUUGAAUCUGGCAGAGGGGGGUAGAAUUCCACGUGUAGCAGUGAAAUGCGUAGAGAUGUGGAGGAACACCGAUGGCGAAGGCAGCCCCCUGGGUCAAGAUUGACGCUCAUGCACGAAAGCGUGGGGAGCAAACAGGAUUAGAUACCCUGGUAGUCCACGCCCUAAACGAUGUCUACUAGUUGUCGGGUUUUAAAUUAACUUGGUAACGCAGCUAACGCGUGAAGUAGACCGCCUGGGGGAGGUACGGUCGCGAGAAGUUAAAACGUUAAAGUAAAGUUAGACGGCGUGAGACGUGCCGACGGACGACGACGAGGGAGGAGG
This 631-nucleotide ribosomal RNA is filed under the name uncultured bacterium. RNAcentral's name for it is "bacterial SSU rRNA". The stretch from base 1 to 543 matches the Rfam family "Bacterial small subunit ribosomal RNA", at positions 338 to 873 of the family's 1533-position model. The record is from RNAcentral.